This 255-nucleotide ribosomal RNA is filed under the name uncultured bacterium. Its description in RNAcentral is "partial 16S ribosomal RNA". It matches the Rfam family "Bacterial small subunit ribosomal RNA", at positions 524 to 776 of the family's 1533-position model. The record is from RNAcentral.
UACGGAGGGUGCAAGCGUUUGUCCGGAUUUAUUGGGUUUAAAGGGUGCGUAGGCGGCUAAUUAAGUCAGCGGUGAAAUUCCACAGCUCAACUGUGUGAACUGCCAUUGAUACUGGUUGGCUUGAGUACAGAUGAGGUAGGCGGAAUUGACAGUGUAGCGGUGAAAUGCUUAGAUAUUGUCAAGAACACCUAUUGCGAAGGCAGCUUACUAAACUGUAACUGACGCUGAGGCACGAAAGCGUGGGGAUCAAACAGG